Girardinichthys multiradiatus is the source of this 3569-nucleotide long non-coding RNA. RefSeq lists it as uncharacterized. Lineage: Eukaryota; Metazoa; Chordata; Actinopteri; Cyprinodontiformes; Goodeidae. The record is from RefSeq and is a predicted model, not a curated record. The transcript has 3 exons.
GUUACAACUCCUCUACCCUCGUCCAUGCCAAGUGUUUCCAUGUUCCUGCAGAGUCGGCUUUGGUUAGUGUUUGGAUCUCGACCCUGGCAGAGCCUGGAAAGUCAAAGGUCAACCCUGAGUAAUGGAAUCUGUAGCCUGUAGUGACUGCAGCAACGACCUGUUGACCUGCCCAUUGUCCUGUCAGCCACAGGUUCAUUAGCCUGACAGGUUGAGGUCAAACGUCCAUGUCUCUGAAAUUUCCUCCACCUGUGCCCUGCUCUCACCACAGAACACAAUGUCCUCUGUAGACAUCAUAGUCCACAGAGGUGCUUUAAAAGAGUAAUAAAAUCACCCAGAGGAUAUUUGAGCCGACAGUUUCAGUUUCUGUUUAAGAUGAAUCCAGGUUGAAGGUGCAGAGUAAAGAAAUCUGUAAGGGCGCAGUGCGUGGGAUAGCGGUAGAGUGCACGACCCAUAUAUGGAAGCUUCCACCCUGCUUGUUUCUAAAAAAUAAACCAAAUUUUAUCCCAAGGUUCUUCAAAAAAUUAUCAUUGGGAGCUUUAAAACUAUGGCUUUCAUCAAUUAUUAUACCAAGAUAUUUGUAGGAGGACACAAGAUCAAGGCUACAUUCACACUGCAGGCAAAUGUGCCCCAAAUCCAACUUUUUUGCCCAUACGUGACCCAUAUUCGACUUUUUCAUGCCAGUCAGAAUGGCCCAAUUCUGAUUUUUUCACAUCUCUUCAAAUCCGAAUUGUGCCACUUUCAUAAGUGGUACAACAUCCUGCCUUCAGAACGAUCAUGUUGGACUUUUAGUCUCAGAUCAUGUUUUCCUCGCCAAGGCCCAAAGUAGGUUUCUUUGGUACAACAGACUGGCUAGUUCAGAAGAAAAUCAAGGACUAUCUCAUCCCUUAGCCCUGAACUGACAAAUAGGAGCAUGCUCAUCAACAAAAUAACUAAAACUGUCAUUACAACAUUUCCAUGCCAGAUCAACACCAUCUAUUAAUAAAAUAUGGUCCCAAUUAAAAGGAAGAACUCAUGAAUAAAAGCUUGCUCGCUGAAAUGCUUCGGGUGGCUUUUCUGCACAAUUUGGGGCUUUGAGCAAAGGAAUGUUUGUAUCCCUGAUAGCACCAACAACACAAUGAUCACUAAGAUAAUUUGCAAAUACUCCCAAAGCAGAGGCAAAUUUGUAAUUAGAAGAUCAAUCUGAGUUAAAUUAGUUGGGACAUUUAUAGGAACAUAUAGAGUAGGACAUUCAAUUAAUAUGGGUGAGGUUAAAAGAUUAACAAUGAGCUUAAUUUCUUUAAAUUGUAGUUGUGAUAAGUGUUGUAGUAGAGACGAUAAUGUUUCCUUGCUGGAUAAGGGGGGCUCUGUAGCACCCAACUACUGUUAAGAUCUGACCACCAGAAAGAUCAACAUUUAAAGCCAGGAUUGCUUCAUUAGCUGUAGUUGUCCAGUCAUCUGAAGGCACCUAGUGGCCACACAGAGCCUGUCUAUACUCCUCCAUAAAAGCCACACAACUUUCUUCCAUUUUUAGGUUUCACCACUUUGUCCUCCGCUCUGCCACUGUUCUCUUCACCUUCCUCACUAUCAGAUUCAUUUUAAACACCACCACCUUACACAACAUCUCCUACCCCACUCUUAUAAGUCACCUGGAGUUCCUGCCUCUUCUGAAAGAAAAUAUUCACUACAGCCAUUUCCAUCCUCUUUGCAAAGUCUACAACCAUCUGUCUGUCUGCAUUCCUGUUCUGGAUUUUAAACUUGCCCAUCACCUCUGUUCCCUGCUUCAACAUGUCCAUUGAGAUCUGCACCGAUCACCACUCUCUCACCUCUGGCCAUAGUCUACAUCACUUCAUCUAACCUGCUCUAGAAUUUCUCCUUCUCUAACUCACAUCCUACCUGUGGGGCAAAAGCAAUAACAUCAAUGAACAUCACAUCUUCAGUUUCUAGCUUCAGACUCAUCACCCUACCUGACACUUAUUCACCUCCAGAACAUUCCUGACAAACUCCUCCUUCAAGAUAACUCCUACACCAUUUGUCUUCCCAUCCACACCAUGGUAGAACAGCUUGCACGCUGCUCCUAAGCUUCUAGCUUUGCUGCCUUUCCACCUGGUGUCCUGAACACACAGAAUGUCCAAUGUCCUCCUGCAUCAUGUCAGCCAACUCUCUAUCCUUUCCUGUCAUAGUUCCAACAAUUGAAGUCCCUGCUCUCAGUCCUAGAUUCGUUGUUAACCUGGGUCUCAAUCGAUCUGGUAUGGAGAAGAUGUUCUUGACUUGCAUGGUAGAUUUGGCAAAAGUUUUACCCUGGAUGCUCUCUACAUUAAUCUAGGCUUGGGACCGGCACAAAUAGGACACUGUCCCACCUUUGAGGUUGCGUUAAAAACAUGGUUGCAGGCCACAAGGGCCAAUUCUAAUCUUGCCAAUGGGAGCUCUAACUUUUAUACCACAGUCUCUCCUUUUAUACAAUACUGAGAAGUGGAAACUGAUGGUGGAGGCCUACAAACACCUUAUGAUUAAGAUUGUAAGGAAACAUGCAGAGGUGAUACAUGUGGUGCUAUCAUUGUCAUAGUAUGGUCAAAAAUCAGCAGGGAGCUGAUGAGACGUGCCUUAGUUUAAGAAUGCAGAAGGCUUAUAUUUGCCUUCCUGAUGAAAGUGGUUUGUGAAUGGUGUUGGAGAUCCUGGAGAUCAUAAGGUGUUCUUAUUCCAGCGUAAAGGUUUGGAGGGGCCACAAAUCUAGUGGAUUUAGUUGCAUCUUUAAUGUAUUUUUUAUUGAGGCAAGCAGACUCCAGUGGCUUCAGCUGCACAUUUAUUACACCAACCUAAGACCAGUUCUUAUCUUAAUGUGAGCAAGAGCAAGAUGGAGCAUUUUUGACAUUAUUCAGACAGCACCAAGGCUUACAUAAACAAACACAGAUAUCAUAGAGAACAAAGACCUGUUAUUGAUGUAAUUUUAUAUUAAGCAGGUAAACAGGUUUUUUUAUGGAGGAAGGAUGUAAAGACCACGCUAAGGACAUGCUGUAGUCAUUUUCUCCAAAAAAAAAACAAACAGUCAGUGUUUUAUCUUAAUUACUUAGAGUUUCCUGGUAAUGUUUGAUUGUAUGAGGCAGACAUUUAUUACCUGAGCAAGCAUAUGUUUUCCAUGUUAGCUGAUUUUCCUGCUUACAUCCUUCUUUUCAUGCAUCUCGAUGAAAAGCAUCUGUCCCGUCAGAAUUUGUUUUGCCCUUUGUGUCCUUGCCAAAUGGCUCUUCUAUCUCUGACAGGGAGACACCCCUCCCUGUUGUUACGCAUUUUAGGAUGAGCAAGGCAGUGAGUUGCCUUUGCUCUGUGUAUGAAUAGACCGAUGUGUCUGCCUAGCUGGAAUGCUGAGAAUUGUUUGCAUUUCGGGCACGUGAAAGCUUAUCACUCAGUCUUUUUAUCUGCACAGCUUAUCCUUAACCCUGAAUGAGUCCGGGCAUCCCCCAAAGUCUCCAUCCCCCUCUGAUCUUGAUCUUGCUGUCAUGUCUCCCCCCCGCCCUCAGCAGGGUGGACUUGUGCAGUGAUACUUGCAUUGAUGUGCGAGGGGCAGAGCUGCUGCCCUUUAAUUUGAGUUUUUGUCU